This 510-nucleotide ribosomal RNA is filed under the name uncultured bacterium. RNAcentral describes it as "partial 16S ribosomal RNA". It matches the Rfam family "Bacterial small subunit ribosomal RNA", at positions 28 to 507 of the family's 1533-position model. The record is from RNAcentral.
GACGAACGCUGGCGGCGUGCUUAACACAUGCAAGUCGAACGAAGAGCGAUGGAAGCUUGCUUCUAUCAAUCUUAGUGGCGAACGGGUGAGUAACGCGUAAUCAACCUGCCCUUCAGAGGGGGACAACAGUUGGAAACGACUGCUAAUACCGCAUACGAUCUAAUCUCGGCAUCGAGGAUAGAUGAAAGGUGGCCUCUACAUGUAAGCUAUCACUGAAGGAGGGGAUUGCGUCUGAUUAGCUAGUUGGAGGGGUAACGACCCACCAAGGCGAUGAUCAGUAGCCGGUCUGAGAGGAUGAACGGCCACAUUGGGACUGAGACACGGCCCAGACUCCUACGGGAGGCAGCAGUGGGGAAUCUUCCGCAAUGGACGAAAGUCUGACGGAGCAACGCCGCGUGAGUGAUGACGGCCUUCGGGUUGUAAAGCUCUGUUAAUCGGGACGAAAGGCCUUCUUGCGAAUAGUGAGAAGGAUUGACGGUACCGGAAGAGAAAGCCACGGCUAACUACGUG